CACGUAGGGUGCGAGCGUUGUCCGGAAUUAUUGGGCGUAAAGAGCUCGUAGGCGGUGUGUCGCGUCGGCCGUGAAAACCUGCAGCUUAACUGUGGGCGUGCGGUCGAUACGGGCAUCACUGGAGUUCGGCAGGGGAGACUGGAAUUCCUGGUGUAGCGGUGAAAUGCGCAGAUAUCAGGAGGAACACCGGUGGCGAAGGCGGGUCUCUGGGCCGAAACUGACGCUGAGGAGCGAAAGCGUGGGGAGCGAACAGG
RNAcentral lists this ribosomal RNA (254 nucleotides) under uncultured bacterium. RNAcentral's name for it is "partial 16S ribosomal RNA". It matches the Rfam family "Bacterial small subunit ribosomal RNA", at positions 524 to 776 of the family's 1533-position model. The record is from RNAcentral.